This 1319-nucleotide long non-coding RNA is filed under the name Homo sapiens (human). RNAcentral describes it as "novel transcript". The record is from RNAcentral. Lineage: Eukaryota; Metazoa; Chordata; Mammalia; Primates; Hominidae.
UCAGCCUCCCAAGUAGCUGGGGCUACAGGCACCUGCCACCAAACCCGGCUAAUUUUUUUGUAUUUUUAGUAGAGACGGGGUUUCACCGUGUUAGCCAGGAUCGUCUUGAUCUCCUGACCUUGUGAUCCACCCGCCUCGGCCUCCCAAAUUGCUGGGAUUACAGAUGUGAGCCACCGCACCUGGUCCAAGAACCCAAGUUUUAGAUCUAGAGUGAUGUCAGCAUGACAUUGAUUUCCUGAGGCCCAGGGGCGAAGGAGCUGAGGACAGCAGAGGGGUGAAGGAACUCAGCUACAGACAGCAGCAGCUGAUGCACAGGCCUCCCAGCGCCUGAAGUCACCCGGAAUUGGGAAGUGCUCAGAAGCUUACAAAGCUGCCUCGAGGUGGGAACAUGACAUAAAUCCAAGAGCAGAUCCCUGAUCCUAUAAAAAUGUACUAGAUGCAGUGGGGGCAUUUUAAAUGAGCAGAGAAGGACAGACAGAUAAACAGAAGGACAAACAGUAUUGGGAUUGGGAUAAAUGCUCAGCUUUUGCCCAAAUCUUAGUGACUUAAGCAUCACUUAUUUGCUCACGAUUCUGUGGCUGGACCAUUUGGUUUGGCUCACAGGGCAGGGACUGUGCUGGUCUUACCUGAGCAGACCUGCAUGUCUGCGGUCAACUGGGUUGGCAGAGACAGAGUGACUGUCUUCCUCCAGGAAGCAGCAGGUUAACUGGUUGGCAGAGACAGAGGGACAGAGGGACUGUCUUCCUCCAGGAAGCAGCAGGUUAACUGGUUGGCAGAGACAGAGGGACAGAGGGACUGUCUUCCUCCAGGAAGCAGCAGGUUGGCUCUGUUUCCUUCGUGGGGCAGCUGGUCUCCAGGGCAGCAAGAGAGACCAAGCCCCAGUGCACAUUCUACAGCCUCUGUGCACAUCAGACUUGUUAAUAUCCCAUUGGCCAGUGUAAGUCACUUGGCCAAGCCCAGAUUAAGGAGUGGAAAGAUGGAGGCUAUCUCCUCCUGGGAGAGGAGGCAAAGGAGGUGGGAGUAUUAUGUGGCCACUUAUGUUUGCAAUCUACCAUACUUAGCACUUUGAGAAAAGAAUUAACUGAGAAACUUGCUUCAAAUAGGGCCAGUAAAAUGAAGCCCCAAUUGAAGUAAAAUGCAUAUAUAAAAAAUGAAACUGUGACCGAUUUUAAGGACAGUAUUGGCAAAUAUUUCUGUGCUCUUGGAGGAGAAGACCCUUAUUGGCAUGACAUGUCAGAAACCACAAUGAAAGAAUUAUUUUAACUUGCAUUCAUAAAAAUUAAAAUUAUUCAUUAAAAACAUCGUGAAUGAAAUUAAAA